CAGUCCAGUCAAGGAUGUUCUCAUUCCUAUGAACACACAGUGCUUUUAUUCUUUUGGUUUUGGAUCUUCGUAGUUCCUCGGCCUCAGUGAUAUCUCGUGGAAAAGUGUUUGAGCGGAGAUUGUGUAGUCUGGCAUCUUUUUACCUGUUCCCUUUUAACAGUCUGAAACGUUACCAGCUUUGCGUUUGCUUCAGUAUUGCUUUGCUCACAUAUUCUGAAGGAGGAAACAACUUGCUUGACCCAUGUGCUCUAGAUCAGCCAUUACUUUUAAGUAUCUCUCUCUGAAUUUCUACCUCAUUUGUCUCUUAGCCUGCUCAGCUGUCCCACUGUGCUGUUUGGGGACUUACAGGCAUGACCUUGUCUCGAUUCAUUACUUUGUUAGUUUUGGCAUUCUAUAUAUUUUUAAAUAUAGCUUUUCCUUUUAUAGGAUUAAAUAUUUCUGUUUUAAGAGCCUGUUGAAACACACGUUUCCCUGUUCUCCUGUCUUGGGCUCGGCAGCUGAUCAGCACAGGGCUGUAGAUCAAAACUGACUUCUGGCUCCUGCAGACACCAGUUAGAGGAGGUGAUGCUGAAAUGGCUUGAGAGCGCAGACAAGGCAACCAGCUACCUACAGGUACGUCUUGUGUCAAUAUACUGUAGCACAACUGUACGAGUGAGAUAUUCCUUCCAAGACAGCACGAACAAUGAUGGGUGUCCUCAUUUUUCCAGACUUGGUGAUAGCGACACAAUGCUGCUUCUACAGCACGAGAACAUCUGGUUCUACAGACUGCAGACCUUCUCUCCUGUGCCCUGGGACAAUACUGUUGUGGUCACCUGAAAGAAAUCCCCCUUGUGCUACCCUUCGACAGCAGUGUACUUAGCACUAUAUAAAGUAUGUUCAAAGCAGAGCUCUGUCUGGUUAACGCUGGAGUGGGAGAGUUUAUCACUUCCACCAGUUGGACCACAUCUAAAAGUCAGACAUCCAGAAGAUGAGAGACACCACUGAGGGGCCAUUUGUGAAGAAAUGUGGCUUAAGUAAUUUGCCCCUUCAUGACAGAGGAAAGUGGAGUAAGAAGCAAUAAUUAACCUCAGUCCUCUUGGAUAGCUUUAUCUGACUUUAAAUUGGAGACACUUUUUCUAUUCCCUCCCUUCUUUACCAGACAUCCAAGUGCAGUUGAAGACCCUGGAGCUCUGCAGCAGUCACCCUCACCGGACUGCUUCACUGCCCGAGUGACCCUGUGCCCUGGCCAAGGCAUCUGUCAGCUUUUCUGCUUCUAAGGGAGAGGAGUUUGUAUGGAAAUUCUCAACCAUUCUCAAGGCAUGUCCAAAAUGACAAAGAUAAUGAAGAAAGACAGAAAUGGGGAAGAGAAAUCAGGACUUGAAUCUGCUCUGAAGGCCAAGAUCUCUAGAGCUUUCCCUGAAAGUCAACUUCAAAGGAAGAAACAGUAAAAGGAUUCGAGGAAAAAGAGACAUGUACUUGGAUGGUGGCCUGAUGCUGUGACAGCUUCCAGUGGAGAUGAGCUGGGUGGCUAGACAGGAGGCUGUGUACUGAAAAGAGAGGGUGAAAGGUGCCGCCUGCCAAAGCAGCAGCUGGUGAGAAGGCGACUGGACUGCACAGCAUCAGCGAACACAUGAUCGGUGGGGAAGCGCGAGCCCAGCUUCAAUCCUUGUCAAUGGCACCUCGUUGACUUUUAACACUUCCUUAUCGUGUCUGCGCUCACCUCGUAGCUGAUAAAAUGCCAUCGCCGGUGUAAUCUCCUGAGCAGCUCUGCAGAAAACGUUGCAGAGCAUGGGAGGCUGAACCGCCUGCAGCCAGCAA
Harpia harpyja (harpy eagle) is the source of this 1797-nucleotide long non-coding RNA. RefSeq lists it as uncharacterized. Lineage: Eukaryota; Metazoa; Chordata; Aves; Accipitriformes; Accipitridae. The record is from RefSeq and is a predicted model, not a curated record. The transcript has 6 exons.